GGAUAAACCGGAGGAAGGUGGGGAUGACGUCAAGUCAUCAUGGCCCUUACGAGUAGGGCUACACACGUGCUACAAUGGCAUAUACAAAGAGAAGCGAACUCGCGAGAGCAAGCGGACCUCAUAAAGUAUGUCGUAGUCCGGAUUGGAGUCUGCAACUCGACUCCAUGAAGUCGGAAUCGCUAGUAAUCGUAGAUCAGAAUGCUACGGUGAAUACGUUCCCGGGCCUU
This 227-nucleotide ribosomal RNA is filed under the name uncultured Enterobacteriaceae bacterium. Its description in RNAcentral is "partial 16S ribosomal RNA". It matches the Rfam family "Bacterial small subunit ribosomal RNA", at positions 1156 to 1382 of the family's 1533-position model. The record is from RNAcentral. Lineage: Bacteria; Pseudomonadati; Pseudomonadota; Gammaproteobacteria; Enterobacterales; Enterobacteriaceae.